This 21-nucleotide unclassified non-coding RNA is filed under the name Mus musculus (house mouse). Its description in RNAcentral is "oocyte_clustered_small_RNA10303". Lineage: Eukaryota; Metazoa; Chordata; Mammalia; Rodentia; Muridae. The record is from RNAcentral.
AGCGGCGGCGGCAGCAGCGGC